Molecule: long non-coding RNA, 102 nt
Organism: Dipodomys spectabilis (banner-tailed kangaroo rat)
Lineage: Eukaryota; Metazoa; Chordata; Mammalia; Rodentia; Heteromyidae
Exons: 3
Source: RefSeq, a predicted model, not a curated record
GAGUAUAUGAUAUUUUUUAAACUGAGCCAAUCCUGGGGAACCUGGGGUCUUAUGCUAAUCCUGUGGCUUUUGUCAUUAAAAGUGCCUGUAAUGGCUGCUCAG